This 414-nucleotide ribosomal RNA is filed under the name uncultured microorganism. Its description in RNAcentral is "bacterial SSU rRNA". It matches the Rfam family "Archaeal small subunit ribosomal RNA", at positions 459 to 872 of the family's 1478-position model. The record is from RNAcentral.
CAGCAGCCGCGGUAAUACCGGCGGCUCGAGUGGUGGCCACUUUUAUUGGGCUUAAAGCGUUCGUAGCUGGGUUGUUAAGUCUCUUGGGAAAUCUGACGGCUUAACCGUCAGGCGUCUAAGAGAUACUGGCAAUCUUGGAACCGGGAGAGGUGAGGGGUACUUCGGGGGUAGGAGUGAAAUCCUGUAAUCCUCGAGGGACCACCUGUGGCGAAGGCGCCUCACCAGAACGGCUUCGACAAUGAGGGACGAAAGCGGGGGGGGCAAACCGGAUUAGAUACCCGGGUAGGCCCAGCCGUAAACGAUGCGCGUUAGGUGUAUCGGUGACCACGAGUCACCGAGGUGCCGAAGGGAAACUGUGAAACGUGCCGCCUGGGAAGUACGGUCGCAAGGCUGAAACUUAAAGGAAUUGGCGGG